Molecule: ribosomal RNA, 500 nt
Filed under: uncultured bacterium
Lineage: Bacteria
Description: partial 16S ribosomal RNA
Rfam family: Bacterial small subunit ribosomal RNA
Source: RNAcentral
AUUGAACGCUGGCGGCAUGCCUUACACAUGCAAGUCGAACGGCAGCACGGGAGCAAUCCUGGUGGCGAGUGGCGAACGGGUGAGUAAAGUAUCGGAACGUGCCCAGUCGUGGGGGAUAACGUAGCGAAAGUUACGCUAAUACCGCAUACGAUCUAUGGAUGAAAGCGGGGGAUCGCAAGACCUCGCGCGAUUGGAGCAGCCGAUAUCAGAUUAGGUAGUUGGUGGGGUAAAGGCUCACCAAGCCGACGAUCUGUAGCUGGUCUGAGAGGACGACCAGCCACACUGGGACUGAGACACGGCCCAGACUCCUACGGGAGGCAGCAGUGGGGAAUUUUGGACAAUGGGCGCAAGCCUGAUCCAGCCAUGCCGCGUGCAGGAUGAAGGCCUUCGGGUUGUAAACUGUUUUUGUACGGAACGAAAAGGUUUGACUUAAUACGUUGGACUCAUGACGGUACCGUAAGAAUAAGCACCGGCUAACUACGUGCCAGCCGCCGCAGUAA